GGGGUGAGUAACACGUGGGUAAUCUACCCUUGAAUUUGGGAUAACUUCGCGAAAGCGAUGCUAAUACCGAAUAUUAUAGUUUUAACUCCAGUUUUAAUUAUGAAAGGUGACCUCUUCUUGAAAGUUGCCGUUUAAGGAUGAGCCCGCGUACCAUUAGCUAGUUGGUAGGGUAAUGGCCUACCAAGGCUACGAUGGUUAGCUGGUCUGAGAGGAUGACCAGCCACACUGGAACUGAAACACGGUCCAGACUCCUACGGGAGGCAGCAGUGAGGAAUUUUGCGCAAUGGGGGAAACCCUGACGCAGCAACGCCGCGUGAGUGAAGAAGGCUUUCGGGUCGUAAAGCUCUGUCAGAUGGGAAAAAAGUUCAUGAUUAAUAGUCUAUGAAUCUGAUGGUACCAUCAGAGGAAGCACCGGCUAACUCCGUGCCAGCAGCCGCGGUAAUACGGAGGGUGCAAGCGUUGUUCGGAAUUACUGGGCGUAAAGAGCGUGUAGGCGGUAUGAUAAGUCAGAUGUGAAAGCCCUGGGCUUAACCUAGGAAGUGCAUUUGAUACUGUCAUUCUUGAGUAUGGGAGAGGAGAGUGGAAUUCCCAGUGUAGAAGUGAAAUUCGUAGAUAUUGGGAGGAACACCCGUGGCGAAGGCGACUCUCUGGACCAAUACUGACGCUGAGACGCGAAAGCGUGGGGAGCAAACAGGAUUAGAUACCCUGGUAGUCCACGCUGUAAACUAUGAGAACUAGGUGUAGCGGGUAUUGACCCCUGCUGUGCCGAAGCUAACGCAUUAAGUUCUCCGCCUAGGGAGUACGGCCGCAAGGCUAAAACUCAAAGGAAUUGACGGGGACCCGCACAAGCGGUGGAGCAUGUGGUUUAAUUCGACGCAACGCGAAGAACCUUACCUGGAUUUGACAUCCUCUGACAUCCAUAGAAAUAUGGCUUUUUAUGCUUGCAUAAACAGAGUGACAGGUGCUGCAUGGCUGUCGUCAGCUCGUGUCGUGAGAUGUUGGGUUAAGUCCCGCAACGAGCGCAACCCUUGUUUUUAGUUGCCAUUAUUAAGUUAGGCACUCUAGAAAUACUGCCUCGGUUAACGGGGAGGAAGGUGGGGAUGACGUCAAGUCCUCAUGGCCUUUAUAUCCAGGGCUACACACGUGCUACAAUGGGCUGUACAAAGAGUUGCCACUUCGCGAGAAGGAGCUAAUCUCAAAAAGCAGUUCUCAGUUCGGAUUGAAGUCUGCAACCCGACUUCAUGAAGUUGGAAUCGCUAGUAAUCGCGGAUCAGCAUGCCGCGGUGAAUACGUUCCCGGGUCUUGUACACACCGCCCGUCACACCACGAAAGUCGGUUGUACCAGAAGUUGCUGGGCUAACCCGCAAGGGAUGCAGGUACCUAAGGUACGAUCGGUAAUUGGGGUGAAGUCGAAACAAGGUA
This 1422-nucleotide ribosomal RNA is filed under the name metagenome. Its description in RNAcentral is "bacterial SSU rRNA". It matches the Rfam family "Bacterial small subunit ribosomal RNA". The record is from RNAcentral.